Molecule: ribosomal RNA, 435 nt
Filed under: uncultured bacterium
Lineage: Bacteria
Description: partial 16S ribosomal RNA
Rfam family: Bacterial small subunit ribosomal RNA
Source: RNAcentral
GAGCGAACGCUGGCGGCAGGCCUAACACAUGCAAGUCGAACGAACCUUUCGGGGUUAGUGGCGGACGGGUGAGUAACACGUGGGAACGUGCCUUUAGGUUCGGAAUAACUCAGGGAAACUUGUGCUAAUACCGAAUGUGCCCUUCGGGGGAAAGAUUUAUCGCCUUUAGAGCGGCCCGCGUCUGAUUAGCUAGUUGGUUGAGGUAAUGGCUCACCAAGGCGACGAUCAGUAGCUGGUCUGAGAGGAUGAUCAGCCACAUUGGGACUGAGACACGGCCCAAACUCCUACGGGAGGCAGCAGUGGGGAAUCUUGCGCAAUGGGCGAAAGCCUGACGCAGCCAUGCCGCGUGAAUGAUGAAGGUCUUAGGAUUGUAAAAUUCUUUCACCGGGGACGAUAAUGACGGUGCCCGGAGAAGAAGCCCCGGCUAACUUCGUG